CAGCACCUCAAGUGGUCAGGAUGAUUAUUGGGCCUAAAGCAUCCGUAGCCGGCUCUGUAAGUUUUCGGUUAAAUCUGUACGCUCAACGUACAGGCUGCCGGGAAUACUGCAGAGCUAGGGAGUGGGAGAGGUAGACGGUACUCGGUAGGAAGGGGUAAAAUCCUUUGAUCUAUUGAUGACCACCUGUGGCGAAGGCGGUCUACCAGAACACGUCCGACGGUGAGGGAUGAAAGCUGGGGUAGCGAACCGGAUUAGAUACCCGCGUAGUCC
RNAcentral lists this ribosomal RNA (270 nucleotides) under uncultured archaeon. RNAcentral describes it as "partial 16S ribosomal RNA". It matches the Rfam family "Archaeal small subunit ribosomal RNA", at positions 477 to 747 of the family's 1478-position model. The record is from RNAcentral.